RNAcentral lists this non-coding RNA (31 nucleotides) under Mus musculus (house mouse). The record is from RNAcentral. Lineage: Eukaryota; Metazoa; Chordata; Mammalia; Rodentia; Muridae.
UAGAACCAAAUAGUGCAGGUCUUUCUAAAGC